UACAGAGGUCUCAAGCGUUGUUCGGAUUCAUUGGGCGUAAAGGGUAUGUAGGUGGCGCCGUAAGUCGGGUGUGAAAUUUCGGAGCUUAACUCCGAAACUGCAUUCGAUACUGCGGUGCUUGAGGACUGGAGAGGAGACUGGAAUUCAUGGUGUAGCAGUGAAAUGCGUAGAGAUCAUGAGGAAGACCAGUGGCGAAGGCGGGUCUCUGGACAGUUCCUGACGCUGAGGCACGAAGGCCAGGGGAGCAAACGGG
RNAcentral lists this ribosomal RNA (253 nucleotides) under uncultured bacterium. RNAcentral describes it as "partial 16S ribosomal RNA". It matches the Rfam family "Bacterial small subunit ribosomal RNA", at positions 524 to 776 of the family's 1533-position model. The record is from RNAcentral.